GAUGAACGCUGGCGGCGUGCUUAACACAUGCAAGUCGAACGGAAAGGCCCAAGCUUGCUUGGGUACUCGAGUGGCGAACGGGUGAGUAACACGUGGGUGAUCUGCCCUGCACUUCGGGAUAAGCCUGGGAAACUGGGUCUAAUACCGGAUAGGACGAUGGUUUGGAUGCCAUUGUGGAAAGUUUUUUUGGUGUGGGAUGAGCUCGCGGCCUAUCAGCUUGUUGGUGGGGUAAUGGCCUACCAAGGCGUCGACGGGUAGCCGGCCUGAGAGGGUGUACGGCCACAUUGGGACUGAGAUACGGCCCAGACUCCUACGGGAGGCAGCAGUGGGGAAUAUUGCACAAUGGGCGCAGGCCUGAUGCAGCGACGCCGCGUGGGGGAUGACGGCCUUCGGGUUGUAAACUCCUUUCGCUAGGGACGAAGCGUUUUUGUGACGGUACCUGGAGAAGAAGCACCGGCUAACUACGUG
RNAcentral lists this ribosomal RNA (468 nucleotides) under uncultured bacterium. RNAcentral describes it as "partial 16S ribosomal RNA". It matches the Rfam family "Bacterial small subunit ribosomal RNA", at positions 28 to 507 of the family's 1533-position model. The record is from RNAcentral.